Molecule: long non-coding RNA, 557 nt
Organism: Acinonyx jubatus (cheetah)
Lineage: Eukaryota; Metazoa; Chordata; Mammalia; Carnivora; Felidae
Exons: 3
Source: RefSeq, a predicted model, not a curated record
CUCCUUAAAAAAAUGUGUCACUGUACAGCUGGAAGAUAAUGUUUCACAUUCACAACAGAAGCACCAAAGGUUUUUUUUCCUCUUAACAAGCAUCGAGAAUAAUAGUUUUUUAUAGAUAUAUAUAAAAAAAAGAGAGAGCUUAGAGAAAAAAGUUUUCCCAACUUCUCAUUCCGCCUUCAGUUCCAGACUUCAGAGUCACCGUGAUCAGCGACCUUUUUCCGGACAGUUUUUCCCAUUGAUAGUCGCAGCAAACGGAGCUACAAGGUGGAAACCUUAAAGUCAAAGAUGUACUCUGAAUUUCACUGAAAGCAUCAUGAUCCCAAGCAUUAAAGAUCCAACACUACUGUAAUUUCCACAUGACAAUUACAAUUUGAGGAUGUGUCUUCAGAGUCAAGUGGACAUAGAAAGUGGAUUACUGGUAGCAAAAGACAGCUUAUGAUGUAAACACUCAGUGAUGACUUUGCGGGUCAAUAAAAAUAUUUAUGUCACAUGUGUUAAGUAAUGUCUAUUGACUCAUGUUUGAGCUUCCAAUAUAUUUAGUUCUUUUUAAAAAUGGC